AGUUCACCCAACCUGCCCACUAAAGGAAGAAGCAAAGAAGUCUAAGUUCUUUGGAGUAAGAUGCUCUCAAAUGCCUAGGAACACUGAUCUCCUAACUUGUCUUCCUGCUUUGAGUGUCCCUCUGAGGUUAAAGUUCCUGCCUCAGUCUCCAACAAUGGGAUGCAAGGUGCCCAGACUGUGCAAAGCAAUGGCAGCUGCAUGGAGUCCAGAGAGAGCACCUGGAGGCCUGGAAGGCUUCCAAAAGAAAGUGAGUUUGCACUCCUCUGAGAUACAAGACAAGUAUUUGGAAGAUGCAGGAUUUUACUGAAGUUCUCAUGGAAGGCUUUGGGCCCACUGAUCCCAUCCAUGGGCAUUUUGUCCCCUCCACAAUCCAGCUGAGGGCUGGACUUCCCUGGGACCAUUCUCAGGGGUCACAGGCAUAACCUGUCCAUGCAUUAAAGGUUGGCGCAGAAACUUGGGGCACCUCCAGCCAUUAAUUCAGAUUCAUCUGUUUCAACGUAUUCCCAUCCACCCACAGACUACUGGGGGCCACCCAGAGGCCUGAGUUUCCACCAGUUUCUCACAUGAGAGAAAGCUGAAGGAAAAGGUAUGAAGGCGGAUUUCACUGUUGACAGGUUGUCUUUCAAGUGUGGGUCCUGGCGUUUAUGAGGCAAUGAUGAGACACCUAGAAAGAAGCACAUCUCUGAGACAUGACAGUUCAGUCCCAAAGGCCAUUAAUAGAGGGCCAGCUCAUCAACACAGCUGCAGAAACAGAGCACAGCCAGCCUCGCAGCCCCACACGCUGAAGCCCCCGCUGCAGCAUUCCAUCUACUCUAGCGCCCAUGCAAAUUGAAAACCUAAAAUAGUUCACUCCCCAUAGCCACUGGCUUUGAAGAAUCUCUUUUGUCUCCAUGAAAUAGCUCCAGGAGACAGAACCCAGAGAAAAACUUUUUGAAGUGAACUUUUUCCUUAUAAUUUUAUUUAAAUUUGAAUAUUUUUGUAGAAAUAAUAAAGUUAUCCACUAAUUAUCUGUGUGACAC
This 1019-nucleotide long non-coding RNA is filed under the name Homo sapiens (human). RNAcentral describes it as "HSALNT0119905". The record is from RNAcentral. Lineage: Eukaryota; Metazoa; Chordata; Mammalia; Primates; Hominidae.